Molecule: transfer RNA, 72 nt
Organism: Ovis aries (sheep)
Lineage: Eukaryota; Metazoa; Chordata; Mammalia; Artiodactyla; Bovidae
Rfam family: tRNA
About the family: Transfer RNA (tRNA) molecules are approximately 80 nucleotides in length. Their secondary structure includes four short double-helical elements and three loops (D, anti-codon, and T loops). Further hydrogen bonds mediate the characteristic L-shaped molecular structure. tRNAs have two regions of fundamental functional importance: the anti-codon, which is responsible for specific mRNA codon recognition, and the 3' end, to which the tRNAs corresponding amino acid is attached (by aminoacyl-tRNA synthetases). tRNAs cope with the degeneracy of the genetic code in two manners: having more than one tRNA (with a specific anti-codon) for a particular amino acid; and 'wobble' base-pairing, i.e. permitting non-standard base-pairing at the 3rd anti-codon position.
Source: Rfam
UCCCUGGUGGCUUAGAGGGUAAAGCAUCCACCUGUGACGCGGGAGACCCGGGUUCAAUCCCUGAGUUGGGAA